AUACUUACCUGGCAGGGGAGAUACCAUGAUCACGAAGGUGGUUUUCCCAGGGCGAGGCUUAUCCAUUGCACUCCGGAUGUGCUGACCCCUGCGAUUUCCCCAAAUGUGGGAAACUCGACUGCAUAAUUUGUGGUAGUGGGGGACUGCAUUCACGCUCUCCCCUG
This 164-nucleotide small nuclear RNA is filed under the name Castor canadensis (American beaver). RNAcentral's name for it is "U1 spliceosomal RNA (ENSCCNG00000026220.1)". It matches the Rfam family "U1 spliceosomal RNA". Rfam says of the family: U1 is a small nuclear RNA (snRNA) component of the spliceosome (involved in pre-mRNA splicing). Its 5' end forms complementary base pairs with the 5' splice junction, thus defining the 5' donor site of an intron. The record is from Rfam by way of RNAcentral. Lineage: Eukaryota; Metazoa; Chordata; Mammalia; Rodentia; Castoridae.